RNAcentral lists this transfer RNA (87 nucleotides) under Candidatus Thorarchaeota archaeon. Its description in RNAcentral is "tRNA-Ser". It matches the Rfam family "tRNA". From Rfam's summary of the family: Transfer RNA (tRNA) molecules are approximately 80 nucleotides in length. Their secondary structure includes four short double-helical elements and three loops (D, anti-codon, and T loops). The record is from RNAcentral. Lineage: Archaea; Promethearchaeati; Candidatus Thorarchaeota.
GCUGGGAUCUCCUAGCCUGGUAUGGAGCCAGCCUGCUAAGCUGGUGUGCCUAAGCACGCGGGGGUUCGAAUCCCCCUCCCAGCGCCA